UUUUUUUUUUUUUUUUUUUUUUUGGUUUUCGGUUUGUUUUGAUUCUUCAUCCAUUAUUCGUUUAGGAUACAGCAUUCAGCUGUGGGUCCGUUCAUUUAGAUGUUUAUUGAGCACCUGCUAUGCAACAGGGAAUUUUCUAAGUGUGAGACAGAGCAACAAACAAGAGGUCAAGUCCCAGACCUCAUAGGGCUUUUUUUUUUUAGCUCUUCCUGGCGUCUGGAAAUUCCCAGACCAGGAAUCAAACCCAAGCCACAGCAGCGACCCAAGGUGGUGCAGGGACAAUGCUGGAUCCUUAAUCCACUUGUGCUAUAAGGGUUUACAUUCUUGAGAGAAGGCCAGACAAUAAUGGUGUAGAAGAAAGCAAAGAAAAUUGCAGAGGCAAUUAAGCAAAUUUAAAUGAUCUUCUCCCUCUCUUUCCAAAAUGUAGCACGUCCCUUUCUAGUUGCAUCCCAUUCUAGUUAUCCUCCUGCCUUCACAUUUGUUCUUUUGAUCUGGACAACUCCUUACACGUAGGACUGUAACCAGGUGACCUGUAAUCAUUAAUCGCACCCCUUUUCAUUCUCAGAAGUGGUGGAUUUUGGAGGGUAAAUAAUAUGAUCAUCCUACCUAGCCCACAGCUGUCUCAAAGACUGUGAGAGUCUGCCAAGGUCUGGAGAUGCCUCUGGAACAGUGGCCAUUCAUCCAAAAAGUGAUUGCUAUGGCAUAGCAAGCUCAGGACUAGACUGGGGCUGUAAGAGGGGAGAGGGAUGUUCUUGUUCUCAUGAAGCUUACAAUUUGGUAGAGAAGCAGAAUCUGAUUAUCACACUAAUAAAGGUACAAAUUAUGCUAAGGGCUAUGAAAUGAGUUGUAUGCUGCCAAGAGGGGACCUAAUGGGGGCUGGCAAGCAGGGCUAGAGGGUCCUUGAACUUUUCCCUGAAGAAAUCUUGGAGAGCUAUUUGAAGAAGGAAGAGCAAUUCACACACUGGAACAGCAUGUGCAAAGGCUUUGAGGCAAUACAGGAAAGGAAAAGAGGCAAACAGGAGCAUGAAGCUGGAGACGAACAGGAAAAGGUGGCUGGAGAGCAGGCUGCGUGUAUAAUAGAAGAGUUUAGAAGGCUAACUAUAGUGGUUUGGUAGGGCUGUUGAAAGAAAUUACCAUAAUUCAGUGGUUGAAUAUGACAGAAAUGUAUUCCCUCACAGUUUUGGAAGCCAAAAGUCUGAAACCAAGGUAUCGGCACAGCCACAGUCCCUGUGAAGGCACUAAGGGAGGAUCUUCCUUGCUUCCUCCAUCAUCAGGCACAGACAGUAGUUACACAUGGACCAGAUCCUUAAACCAGUUGAGUAACUGAUGCGCUUUUACCUUUUCUUUGGCGUUCUGGAUAUUCUUAAAGAAGCAGGGAAAAGGCUAGGUCAAGACUAAAUACCCUGCCUGUCGCCAGGCUCGUGAUAUAUUUACCCUAAGUCCUAGAAAUUAGCUAGGUACAUUUAGUAAAACUAUCGCUUUAAUGAAUCAUUGCUGUAAGGCAUUAAAUGGAACCCUACAGGGUUGGGAGAAUUAAUGUUCACUCUAAAUUGUCAGAGAAUUCCCAAGGAGUAUACAACUGGCAAAGUCUGACAAUUGUUUAAUAACUAUAGUACUUGUUGUACCACAGAGUCGAAUGUAUUAUUGUUCUUUAAAGCAACUACUGCUUCCUUUUCAUUUAAUAGUUUUUAAAUUUUUUAUUAAGUAUAGUUGAUUUACAAUGUUGUGUCAAUUUCUGCUGUACAGCAAAGCAACCCAGUCAUAUACAUAUGUAUAUAUACAUAUUUUUCUCAUAUUCCAUCAUGUUUUAUCUCAAGAGAUUGGAUAUAGUUCCCUGUGCUGUACGGUAGGACCUCAUUGCUUAUCCACUCUAAAUGUAAUAGUUUGCAUCUACUAACCCCAAACUCCCAGUCCAUUCCACUUCCUAAUACAGUUUUUAAAUUACACUCUAUCCUGACCACAAAAAAGAAAUAAUUACUUGAUGUGAUGGAAGUGUUAGUAAAUACCAGUCAUGUUGCAAUAUAUAAAUGCAUCAAAUCAACAUGUUAUAUAACUUAAAUAUACACAAUGUUAUAUGUCAGUUAUAUCUCCAUAAAAACAAACAAAAGUUACAAUCCAAUUCUUUUUUUCCCUACAAGAGAGAGACAGAAAAUAUUUUAGCCAAAUAGAUAAGGCUAUUUCUCAUUUAGAUAAUAUCAUUACUUUAGCUCACUUUUCAUUUUUUUUUGAGGGGAGCGCACCCUCAGCAUAUGGAAGUUCUCAGGCUAGAGGUCAAAUCGGAGCUACAGCUGCCUGCCUACACCACAGUUCACAGCAACGCUGGAUCCUUAACCCACCAACUGAGGCCAGGGAUCAAAUCCUCAUCCUCAUGGAUCCUAGUCAAUUCAUUAACCGCUGGGCCACGAAGGGAACUCAGCUCACUUUUCAAAAGGAAACAGAUUGUAAACUUUUUCAUUAAAAGCACAGUUCCAUAAAGAAUAUAGCAGGAAAAAUUCAGAAUCUUUAUCCAACUUGUUAAAACUUGUCUUAAGGGACAAGUUUUUAAAAUUAGCUGUCUGUUAUGUUUGAAACAAAGGCACAUAUGAAUUUAUUUUUAAUGUUUGAGACUUUACUCCUAAGCCCUGUCUCGGGGGAAAUUGCUGGUAACUAACUUGCUGUCAUUUAGAAUCUAAGCGCUUAAGAUCUUCCCCCUCAUUUUCCACCUACCUGCACACACUCAACUGGCUGUUUUCUUCUCUUCUUCACUCUGGAGCACCUAUUCCAAAUGCUAAACAAGAAAAAUACAAUCCUUUCCAGUUCAUCAGUAGAUUUUUGGGAAAAGGAGUUUGAAAGUAGAAAAUUACUAUUUCUAGGUUAUCAGUAAAGUUUAAAACUUAAGGCUACCCCUAUUUCUUUUCUUUUUUCUUUUCUCUCUCUAUUUUUUUUUUUCCUUUUUUUUCUUUUUUUCUUUCUAGGGCUGCACCUAAGGCAUAUGGAAGUUCCUAGGCUAGGGAUCAAGGAGCUACAGCCGCCAGCCUACACCACAGCUCAUGGCAACAUCAGAUGCCCGACCCACUGCAUGAGGCCAGGGAUCAAACCUUCAUUCUCUUGGAUACUAGUCGGAUUCGUUUCCGCUGCGCCACAACAGGAACUCUCAGGCUACCCUUAUUCCUAAUUACUGUGGAUAAUCAAGAUACCAAGGCUGGUUUAUAAGAGCAAACAAUGUUGCAUGUUUUUGUUUCUUACUGUGAAUAAAUAUGAAUGUGUUUUAAUUGCAAUAUAGUUCACAUACAAUAUUAGUUUCAGGUGUACUACAUAGUGAUUUGACAUUUACAUACAUUAUGAAAUGAUCAACACAAUAAGUCUAGUAACUAUCCAUCCUUAUGCUGUAUAUUAUAUCCCCAUGGCUUAUCUAUUUUACUGCUGGAGGUUUGUACCUCUUAACCUCCUUCACCUAUUUUGCCCUCCCCUCCACCACCCUCCUUUCUGGCAACCAUCCACUUGUUCUCUGUACCUGUGAGUCUCCUUCUUUGUUUUGUGCAACAUGAAUUUGUUAUUCUGCAGAAAACCUAUAAUGCCUGUGGCUGUAUAAUAUUACUCACCUUUUUUCCAUUUCUUAAAUGAGUCGAAAUAGUCUAAUUAUCAGGACUAUAAUUGAAGAGUCAAAUCAUGAAAAGCUAGUAUAUUGUAAUCAGAUUAAUUAACUAGUUUUGGUUUUGGUUGCAUAAUGGAGAAAUAGACCUGACUAAAAAUUAAAUUGUACUUUGGUAUGUAUGAGUGUCUUGAAAUUUAUAUAAUGAAAAGUACUUUGGAGAAAUAAAUUCUGGAGUAAUGAUGUCAGCGGAUAGUGAAUAUCAUCUUAUGCUGCGAACUCACUCCCCAACAGAUGGUGCUAGCUCUCUUCUGGUGAGAGCUGUUCUGGUCUACCCUCUUUAGAAUGUACCCAUGACCUUGAGGGUGAAAAGUGAUUCAGUGAUUUGAAUAGAAUGUAUUGUAAACAUACUUCUACUGCACCUGAACUUUGGUUUAUAAUACAUCAUUCCACACAAUCCAGUUGGAGAAUCAAUGAUCUUAUUCUCUUAUGAAUUUGAUUUCUUCCAUGGUAGCUACAGAAAAUAAUUUUAAAGGUCAUUUAUAUGAUAAUAAUGAAUAUUAUUUAACUUUUUCAGAAACGCCAGCUUAGAGAAGGCCUCUUUAACUACGUAUCCCCAGAAAUGACACUGAGUCUUGAAAAUGUUGGAGGUGUUUCUUCCUAAUUUGACAAAUGUUUAGUGAUGAUCUAUGUAUAUUAAAUAUAAUACUAGGAACCAGGGGUGAAAAUAGAAGUUAUGCUUCCUCUUCUGAAGGACCCAGCCCAAUGAUUCCCAGAAUUAAAUCAUUUUCACAUAUUCUAUGAGCUUUCUGCCAUAAUAACACUCAUCAUUACCAUUAUAUGCUUACUAUUUUUCUUUAAAUUAGCUUUUAUUUUAAAAGAAAAAAUCUGUCAAUACUAAUUUUUUAAAGUGCCAUAGACAGAAAGUAAUCAUUAGAAAAUAUCAUAAAAAUACAUAAGUUCUAGACAAUUAUUAUUAUUUUUAGGGCCACACCCACAGCAUAUGGAGGUUCCCAGGCUAGGGGUCGAAUGGGAGCUGUAGCUGCCAGCCACAGCCACAGCCACAGCAGUGUGGGAUCUGAGCUG
Molecule: long non-coding RNA, 4657 nt
Filed under: Sus scrofa (pig)
Lineage: Eukaryota; Metazoa; Chordata; Mammalia; Artiodactyla; Suidae
Description: lncRNA (ENSSSCG00000060291.1)
Source: RNAcentral